AACGAACGCUGGCGGCAUGCCUAACACAUGCAAGUCGAACGAGACCUCCGUGUCUAGUGGCGCAUGCGUGCGUAACGCGGGGGAAGCUGCACUUAGGUUCGGAAUACUUCCCUGACGGGGGUGCUAAUGCAGGAUAAUGUAUUCGGACCAAGGAUUUAUCGCGCUGGUAUGGGCCCGCGUUGGUUUAGCCUGUUGGUAGGGUAAAAGCCUAUCACGGCGUGGAUACAUAGCUGGUUUGAGAGGAUGAUCCGCCACACUGGGACUGAGACACGGCCCAGACUCCUGCGGAAGGGAGCAGUGGAGAAUAUAGCACAAUGGGCGAGAGCCUGAACCAGCAGUGCCGCGUAAGUGAUGAAGUCGUUAGGGUUGUAAAGCAGUUUUACCCGGGAUGGUAAUGACAGUACCGGGAGAAUAAGCACCGGCUAACUCCGUG
Molecule: ribosomal RNA, 433 nt
Filed under: uncultured bacterium
Lineage: Bacteria
Description: partial 16S ribosomal RNA
Rfam family: Bacterial small subunit ribosomal RNA
Source: RNAcentral